UGCCCGAUCGUCUAAUGGUAAGACAGCGGACUCUGACUCCGUCAAUCGAGGUUCGAAUCCUCGUCGGGCAUCCA
This 74-nucleotide transfer RNA is filed under the name Sphingobium subterraneum. RNAcentral's name for it is "tRNA-Gln". It matches the Rfam family "tRNA". From Rfam's summary of the family: Transfer RNA (tRNA) molecules are approximately 80 nucleotides in length. Their secondary structure includes four short double-helical elements and three loops (D, anti-codon, and T loops). RNAcentral also lists the same sequence under 3 other names. The record is from RNAcentral. Lineage: Bacteria; Pseudomonadati; Pseudomonadota; Alphaproteobacteria; Sphingomonadales; Sphingobiaceae.